This 492-nucleotide ribosomal RNA is filed under the name uncultured bacterium. Its description in RNAcentral is "partial 16S ribosomal RNA". It matches the Rfam family "Bacterial small subunit ribosomal RNA", at positions 29 to 507 of the family's 1533-position model. The record is from RNAcentral.
AGUGAACGCUGGCGGUAGGCCUAACACAUGCAAGUCGAACGGCAGCACAGUAAGAGCUUGCUCUUACGGGUGGCGAGUGGCGGACGGGUGAGGAAUACAUCGGAAUCUACUUUUUCGUGGGGGAUAACGUAGGGAAACUUACGCUAAUACCGCAUACGACCUACGGGUGAAAGCAUGGGAUCUUCGGACCUUGCGCGAUUGAAUGAGCCGAUGUCGGAUUAGCUAGUUGGCGGGGUAAAGGCCCACCAAGGCGACGAUCCGUAGCUGGUCUGAGAGGAUGAUCAGCCACACUGGAACUGAGACACGGUCCAGACUCCUACGGGAGGCAGCAGUGGGGAAUAUUGGACAAUGGGCGCAAGCCUGAUCCAGCCAUACCGCGUGGGUGAAGAAGGCCUUCGGGUUGUAAAGCCCUUUUGUUGGGAAAGAAAAGCAGCAGGUUAACACCCCGCUGUUCUGACGGUACCCAAAGAAUAAGCACCGGCUAACUUCGUG